UGUUUUUAUUUAUGUAUUUAUUUAUCUGAGAGGAAACCGGGGGCACAUUGGGACAUUAUCAACUCAUUCUCCUCCGAGGGGUUUUCCUCUGAGCGGAGGAAAUCGCCUGCUUUGAUUUACUCUGUAAAUCUGGGCCUUACAUUAGUGUGGCAGGAGAUUGAGUGUGGCCUCGGCUAAGCGGACUGCUUUGUGGUAAAAAUGUGGAGAUUCAUGUCGCAGAAGAAGUCCUACAUCCCACUACUGCAAGAUGUACUGUAUAUAAUAGCUGUAAAUUUUUAACUAUUUAAUGCUGCACUUUUUGUAUGUUGUGGUCUAAAAUGAAGGGUUGAGCUAACUGUUUCCCAGUGCUAAUGGCUGUUGUGCUGAGAUAAGCUCGCUACUAAGCUAGAUCCCCAAAGCUAAUGCUGCGUUCAAGUUACCUCAGAAGUCAGAUGUUGGAGCUGAAAAUGACGUCUCACCUGAGUUCCCAAUGUUUCAGUUACCAAGUCAGGAAAAAAGCAAAAUCAGAGGCCUCAAACAAGAUGGCGAAAAGUUAUACAACGAAAGUUAUUUUAGCGUUUGCCUUAUAUUCAGACAAGGCAAGCGCUGAAAUAACGUUCGUAGAUGUUGCCAUCUUGUUUCCACCUCCGAUUUUGCUUUUUUCCGACUUGGUAACUGAAACAUUGGGAACUCAGGUGAGACGUCAUUUUCAGCUCGGACUUCUGACUUCCUAGUAACUCGAAUGCAGCAUUAGCCUUGGGGAUCUAGUUUAAUAGAGUGGAUGAGUAGAAAAAUGAGGGUUAAUGCUGCGUUUAUGUUACCUAAGAAGUCAGAUGUUGGUGCUGAAAAUGACGUCACACCGGUGUUCCAACAAUUCAGUUACCAAGUCGGAAAAAAGCAAACUCGGAGGCCUUAAACAAGGUUUUAGCGUUUGUCUUGUCCUUGCUUAAAUUCGGACAAGGCAAGCGCUAAAAUAACUUUCGUAGAUGUCGCCACCUUGUUUCCACCUCUGAUUUUGCUUUUUUCCUAUUUGACAACUGAAACGCUGGGAAAUCGUCAUUUUCAACUCCGACAUCUGACUUCUGAGGUAACUCGAACACAGCAUUUGUGCAUGGACACAACAAUAGUACCAAUCUAACCAUCAAACUCUCAUAAAGAUCAGCGAGAACUGAUCUGGUGAAGGUUUGCUCAUUUUCUCAGUUUGUCACUUUAAGCCUCCCUUUAAAGAAACGUCUUAAACCACGUUUUUAAAAAGCCUUGCAGGUUUUAUUUAUUAUUAUCCUGUGUCACCUCUGCCAGAUUCAAGUCUGCUGAGCCAUGAUACAGUCCGUGUUAUUUCAAGGCCAACAAGGCCAUCUGAUAAAGCCCCAUGCCUCGCAGCCUGCGGCGAAGACAUGUUUCGAACGGUGGAAAGCCAAAAACAUCUGAACCUGCAACAGUUUCUGCAAAGUUCAAAGUCCCCAAACUGUGGGCAUUGAUCUGAUUAUGUGGAUGCCAUUUUUCAGCUGCGGAUAGCGUCCUCUUGGGUCUCCAUUGUUUCGCCAACACUGCAGCAUGUCAGCGUAGGUAGUAGCAGGCUUUUGUCUGGAUGCAGUUAGUGAUGAUAUCAGGAGGGACUUUCCCCCCCAGUUUCCUGAUAUGAGCUUUUCCCAUGUUAUCAUAGAGAAAUAAUCACAGCAGAUACGUUAGUCAGCUGACACUGAUUGCUUGAAUAUGAUUGGAAGAGAAAAAACAAAAUCAAGAGGGGAGAUAGCUCAACUGUUACAGUAUCUUUCACGACAUUUCGAGGACUUCUUUGUAGGUUUCUUUGCACGAAGCUAAACUCACUGCUCCGAGGUGCAGGCUGUGGUGUUUUAUUUAUCGUACAAAUGUGAUAGCUGUCAAAAUCUCCCCGUAGAGCCCAGAAAAAGGAUUAGUUUUCACAUUAUUGCAUAAAAACCUCAAUAUUUGCCUUUAAACUGGGGCUGGAGGGCUGGAAUUGGUGCUGCAGGCGGGCAGUGAAGAGUUACUGAUGAUCCAUUGUGUGUAAAUGAACCGAGGAGAUAAUCUGCAUCAGGUGAACUCAGACACUGUGAGGUUUAGUCAAACACAGGAGCUCCUUGAAGUGUAAGAUAAGCCAGAUAUGUGAGAUAAUUUAUAGAUAAAAUACUCCAGUCGGGCACAUUUAGAAAACUUUAAUGAAGGUUUGAAUGUGACAUAAAAAAGUGUCGCCCAAACAGCCACAAGGUUUCCUCUUAAUCAUUUAUUUUUGAAACACGAUAAUAUCACUUUGCUCUCAGAAAGGAAGGGUAAAAAAAGGUGAAAGCUAAAUUUUCACACCACUGAUCAGGUUUUAUUUCACCUCAUACCAUCGCGAACUUGACUCUGAUUUGUGUCACAAUUUAAUGAACCCAUUGGGUUUUAUUUUGACGGAAGUCUGAAAGGAGACAGCUGACGGGGGGGUUGCUUCAUCUCCCUGAAGAAGAAACAAUUUAAAAGAAAAUAUGUGUGAAUCUUGUUAUAGGUGGGUCGGCUCUUCCUCUCAGCGCUGCUCAUUUCUACACAGCGUUGGUGUAAAGGGAACAACUUAGGGGAGGAAGCACUCACACAAACGGUGCAUUUCCUCCAUAAAACCACAGAUGUGUGAAAACAACAUGCAGUGCAUUCCUUGGCCAUUUCUCUCACUUUAGCACAAAGAAGGACUACAGGGUCGGCAGAGCGUUUCUGAGAGGAGCAAACAUGACCAAAGACGCAUGUUGGUGUUUUUCAAAUGUGCGCAGCUUAAACCCAGCGUGAUAAAAGAGAAGUGUUACAUCAUUAAAAAGGUAGUGUGAAGAUCAGAGCUGCUAUGGGGAGACAGUUUGAAGGAGCUUGCAACCGCAGCCCGGUAAAAGAGAAGUUGUUGCGUCUAUGAGGAAGUUCCAGCCAUGAGUUUGGGAGUAUUUGUUCUGUAAUCUCCAAAAAUGAUUUUGCAUUAUUUAACAGGAAGAGAAAAAGCUAUAAAAACUCCAAUUUGAACCGAGUCGUAUGAUGCAGUUUCAGGAUCAACUCCAGGAUCCAGAAGCUUCUCUCCUUAUCUUGCGCCCUCGCUCGCCUCUAUUGAUCCAGAUUCUUACUGAUCACACAUGCAAUUAUUGAUCGACUUUGGGACACCGUGAGCUGGCGUGGCGCCCUGUUUGCACCCUUGGGGGUAUCUGUGUUUUGUUCCGCGGUGUUGCUUUAGCGCCCCAACUAGGCAAAGGCCACACAUGAAAGGAUCCAGAGUGUUUGACUGAUCAAUUCAUACCCUGAUUGUCAAACACAAAGACCGCUCUGUCUCUAAAAACCAUAUCCAGAGAGUUUGAUCAGUAAUUAACCCGUCAGAUUUCAACAAGACAGCAUCAGACAGUGAUUUUAAAAUCUAGAUUGUUGUCUUGCUGGUGUUUUAGUUUGGAGCGAGAUGAAUUGAGGGACUUCUUUGGGCGGAGGGGUCAAAAACAGGUCAAGUUGUGGAGAGCAGUAUUUAUGAGGCUGUAGCUGCCAGAAAAACAAUAAUGCUGCUUGGACAUAAUCUGUCAUUUGUUUUCUCACCAAAACUUGUGAAGUAAUUCCUUACUUGCGCUACAAAGACAUCAAAUGGUAUCUAGUUUCUUCCCUUUGCUGUGAAAAGUACAUAAAAGUGGUUGCUUUUAUACUUUACUGUUACUUUUUUGUUGUGAUGUUAUAUCGGCAUUUAGUAGGAAAUUUAAAAAAAAUUAUUUCUGGCUCAAACUCAUGUCAAGGACAUAAAAAGAGAGUCCCAAAAUAGACAAAGUCUUAUCAGUUUGGGAAUGGUCUUAGCACCAGCUGGAACAAUGCUGGGCGAGAUGGGAGCCGACGCUGACCCUAAUAAUGUGACCGCUCCAUCAAGGAACCUGGAGAACAGGAAGCUCACGGUACCUCUGUCUUCAUGGAUAAAGUCAUAAAAAUGAUAAACACAGGUCUCAAUUAGCCCCCGUCAGGACAAUGUGCUGGUGGACGGUAGAGAGAGGGGAGGGGGGGGUUUGGUCAGGUCAGUAAAAGUGAGGAGAUAAAAGUGUCUGAUCUCCUGUUCGGCUGACCUCCCUGUUCAUUUCGCUGAGGAAACCUGGGUUUUCCCUUCCCCCCCGCUCAUUAAUGGUGAUUCACAAGUCAAUCAGAUGUGCUAUAAAUAUAUUUUUGAUUUGACUCCCUGUGGUGUUGCUUUAAAGAAGUGAGAACCUGGUCAUAAAUGAGUGGGUGUCAUCUCGAGAGUAAGGGGGCAGUUGCACAGGAAGGUUAAAGGUCAACUCUGGUUCAUUUCAGCUCAAAGCUUUCCAACCUAAAAUUAUCUGUCAAGAUCAUUUUUCUAUUACCUAAUAAAUUUAUCUCAAGAAUUAAACUUGUGAUUCAGCUUUUCCGUUCAAACCGUCACUUAAAGUGAUCAAACCAAAUUCUGUUUUGGUAGAAAGACACUUUAAAGCUCUAAAGAGGAACUUUUACUUUACAGAGCCUCUUAUGUCUUCACUGAAAACUGUGAAGUUCUGUCUUUUACUAAACCUUGAUAAAAGUUAAUUGAAUGUUUUGUACAGCCUUAUGAUGGCCUUGUGCUAUAUUCCAGUUGUACUCGGUAGUCGUAAUUCCCUAGCUCCAAUUGGGAAUUCAUCUGGAACGCCCCUUAAGUCGGAUUUUCGACUCUAAAAGUCAGACGAUCCUCACCAACCCCAACUUGAUGACGUCAUAAUCCAUGAUGGCAGCACAGUGCAUUAACAGUAAAAUCUCUCGUAAUGUUUUACAUAUUAGCAUUUCUGUUUCAUUUUUGUAAAAUUGAAUAAGUGGUAUAUGUUGUAUGGCCAAACUUCUAACUGUGAACACGGUGCUAUGGUGUUUGUAAGAGUAAAAUACUGUGUUAUGCGUUGUUUACAACUGGUAUAGCUAACAACAACUAACAACUGCUGUCAAUUGUAAACAAUCAGAAUCAGAAUCAGAAAUACUUUAAUAAUCCUCGGGGGAAAUUGCUUUUGUCACAGUACUCCAGUGCAAGUACAGUAAAAUACAGUAAACAACAGAUAACAAUGGCUAACAACUGCUGACAACGGCCAGCGACAGCUGACAAUUGUAAACAACGGCUAACAGUAGGCGUCCAUCUUGGUUUUCCAACUUGUUAACUGGAAUGUCGUCAACUCGGGUGUAACGUCAUUCCCAGCUCCGACGUCUGAAUUCUGAGGUAACUGGAACGCAGCAUUACAAUACCAUAACGUCACACUCCAACUCAGAUAAAAAAAUGCAUGCAGGUACUUGAGAUGGGCUUAAAAAAAAGAGCGGUUUUUACAUGCUAAAGUUUAAGGAGCUUUUUUUUUUUUAACUCUGCUGAUUGGCUUUCCUCUUCAAUACGACUCUUAUGUCUCAGUAACUAUAAAGCCACAGAUUAAAGCAGCUAAGCUUUAACUGGCAAUAAGGGUUGAAUGUAGGCAGCUAACUGGGUUCAGUAUUUAAUCCUGAAAGUUGCUAGCAUCUCUGAACCCAUAUUAAGACAUUUACAAUAAUGAAAAGUUAAGCAUAGUCAGAAAGUAUUGCGGCUAAGCAAGCAGACUCAUAUCUUCAGCCGGCGUGUCCUGAAAAGUAAAAUUCAAUAAGAUUCAAGACCAAAAGAAACAUGAAGAGUUAAAGCAUGAAAAAAGGCAGCUCAGACUUUGACAAAACUGUUCCCUUGGUUAAGUUUUACAUGUUUGUUGUCAACCUGAUAUAUUGUUUAAACUGAAUUGUAUUAUCUUUAAAACUGUGGCCAUUUUCUCUCUUUGCCAGGGCCCCGAUGCCAAAGAUUUGAAGCCUUAAACAAUGUCCAUGAUAUCACACAUUUGUAUCGCUGUAUCCUCUGAGUCCCCUGAGUGAAAAUACAACUCUAUGGAUGUUCUCAGGAAAAAGACUUUGAUUAUUUUACUUGUUGCUUCCGUUUUAUUGUUGGCUGACCUCUGGCAGCGAGCAAACCCCGAGGUCACCACAACUGGUGGUGAAAAGUUUCCAAACAUCCUCAUGUUAGCAUGACUAAAAGCAUAUUUAAGAUUUGUCUUGGACUGCGGCUUCAGGAGAAAAAGGGCGAGACGAGAAGACAAAACGGAUGUGCUCAUCUCCAAACGAAGCAGCGGAGACAAACAAGAAAUAGUUUUAUCAUCAGAGCAUCUUCAAGAGGCGGGGGCAGGAUGGUGCAGCAGAGGGGUACAGGGUGAAGACGUCCAAAUGUUCUCUUUUCUGCAACGGACCAGCCAAUAAACAUUCAACAGGGCCGAGUAGAUUCCCACCUGAUUCCCAGCAGAUCCCUGACAGAUUAACGCCUCCAGAACAAUGAGACGAGAGUGGAGACAGCUUCCUCUGUGUCCCCGCUUGUCUAGGGCAGACAACAUCCCUGUGCUACCCUUUCUAACAGGGCUGAGGUGUGUGCUCCCGGGCAAGUGAACUUUCCCAGCAAUCCCCUGGGGGAGGGGGAAGACUAUAUCGCCGAUACAAUGCAUAAGAACAUCUGCAUGUGCUCCAUAGUGCGAGGCUAAGAACCCUUUUUUUUCCAUCCUCAUGUUUAAGCGCAUGACCAGUUUCAAUCCUCUUUUUCUGUAUAAUUUACCAGAAUUUCAAGUCCCCAAUUUUUGAUGACCUGAGAAAAAAAACGUGACCAAACAUAAACUCUCACAUCCUUUAUGCGAGCAUUAUUAACCACUUCACCCUGUGCAUGAUCUCUCAUAUCUGCAAUCCUCCUUACGGGGUGAUAUUCAGGUUAGCAAAGAUCCUGUAUGUCCUCAAAAGGCAUUUGAAGAGUUUGACUGACAGCUGAUGGUAGAAAAAAAACAGUCAUUUACAUCUCCUGACUGACAUGAUUAGGGUUGAAACUUGAAAAUUUCCAGCUUCAGUAAAAAAGGUGUGAUUUCUAUUUAGAGAAUCAAUCUGAGAUAGAGAUGUUUUUCUCCUCUUUUCCCUGCUGCACACCUGUUAUGUGUUCGCCUGCUUAACCUCUUCAUUCUCUCCCCCUUCCCCCCAUUCUGAAACACCUCCCGCUCUGCAAGAUCAGGUGUUGGAGGAAGUCAUAGUCUAAUCAAACACUCCAAACAAUCGCUGAUAAUGACAGAUGUCUACACACUUCAAGUGCAUUCAGAACUGUACAGAGUUUAAAACGGUUUUCCAGAAGUAACUGAGCCGUAACCCUCAAGAUCUGUGAGUUAUUCUUGAAUCUAGAAGGAUAAUAAUUUGUCUAUUUCAAGCAAAAAUGUGUCUUUUUUUAAAUAAAGGCACAUCUUUACUUUGUCAUAUAUAAUGGUUUCUUAAAGGGCUGUAGAGAGCAGAGUAUUAUCUCCUUGUCAAUCUAAACACCAAGAGCGUUUUAACCUUCUGAAGCUAAAUUCUGUCAUUAGAUUUGUCACUUGCAGAGUCUUGACAUCGACACCGUUGCAUCUCCUCUCCUUCAGUAUCUUAGAAGCUAGCUUAAGAAAACUGUUUGGCAUAUAGCCCCAGUAGAGAGGUGGUUGAGACCAAAAAUCAAAGGUGAUAAAAAAAAACGUAAAAUUUGACUUGACUCCAAAUAAAUAAUUUCGUCCAUCAUGUUAGCUAUUUUCCGUUGAUUUGCAGUUUACAGCCCAGAACGUGUACAAAAAAAAAUUUAAAUAAAAAAAUAACAUUUUUGGUACCAAAAAAAAAAUAAUCUGCAGUUUUUAUGUUAUAUUCUUAUGAUUCUUAGCCUUUUAGAGGACAAUGUUACCAUGACUUCCAACAUAGUUAAGCUAAUAAAACGGUUAGCUUGAAAAAAAGAUGCUAACAUUGGCAAAUGUUCAGGGACAACUCAGUGUCUUUCAUGCACUUCUAACUCAGUAGGUCCAAACAAACUCGAAACUUACAUUUGAAUGAUUUUAUAAAGCCAGACAAACCCGGACAGCCCUAAAAAAAGAGCACAUGUCCGGGUAAAAGAGGACAUAUGGUCACCCUAAACAUUACCAUGACUCCUAACAACAGUGAGGCUAAAAUGGUUAGCUUAAAAAAAAGGCGCAAAUAUUGACAAAUGUUAAGGAACAGCUUGUACUUAUCAUAAUUUGUGAUCAUACUUAUCAUUGUAAGAUAGAGUGACCAUAUUCUGACUUCCCAAAAAUAGGACAUGACUACAUGGGGGCGGAGUCACGGAGUCGCACUAAGUUAAUUUUGAGAGUUUUUCAGGUCGGAUUGAGUGUCUUUUUCGCGCUUCUAACUCAGUAAGUCAACGUGACACAAACUUGAAACUUACGUACAAAACAGAGGACAUUUGAACGAUUUUAUAAACUUCCCCAGACAAAGCAGGACAAACCCGGACAGCCCCCCAAAAAAGAAACCUGGGUAAAAGAGGACGUAUGGUCACCCUACACAUUACCAUGACUCCUAACAACAGUGAGGCUAAAAUGGUUAUCUUUAAAAAAAGGUGCAAAUAUUGACAAAUGUUAAGGGACAGCUUGUACCUAAUCAUAAUUUGUGAUCAUACUUAACAAUGUAAAAUACUAUUUAUUUGCUGGACACACACAAGAGGUCACGCCUGAGGCAGAAUACCCAAACAUUUGCUGCUAAUUGGCCGAGUAUUGUUCAAACUAAAAACACUCUCUCUGCGGCUUUGUCCAUCUCAGGCCAGAGGAGUGGAGCAGCUCUGGGGAUCACUGCAGAGUGCUAACACAUAUAUACCUUCCGUCCCUGUGAUUUAAACUAACACCGCGACUUCACAGCGCGGCACAAAGGAGCCAGCAAACACAUUGUGCAAUUCCCAAGAAAGCCACCCACAGACGUUUCUACAGCGAGACUGGCGACCAGCAGCUCCACCGCGUUUCUGAACUCACUUGGAAGGCGGACAGUUUGUGCUGCUACGCCAAGGACAGGAAGUGCUUGCAGAGGGACAGGAAGUGCUCACCGCUGCAGUAGCCGAGGCUGGAACUGAGAUAAUGCCAUUGUGUAAGCAAGCCAAGUGACCUCUCCCUGAGCGCCGAGUCCAGAGGCUGGCGUCGAGAGCCCUGGCCCCCACCCAGCCCCAGACUCCCCAGGCACGGGGUGGAGAAACAGGGGGAGGACUGGGGGGAAGGAGGAGGAGUGGGGGGGCGUAAGGCAUGUCACCUCCCCUCCUCUCCUCUGGGUUGACUCUGAACCUCACCUUGUAGAGGAAAUGUGGCUACGACUCCAGACUUUAUGACUUCUCCCAUCAAACGCCAGGGUUUUUCACUCCCACACAGCGAGGGAGAGCGAUGAGGACGGGGCACACUCAGACCCACGCCCAUGUUAACACACAAAAACACACACAAACACUCACUCUCUCUUUCUCCUCUCCCUUACUCUUCGAGGGGAAAACCUUAUCAGGUCAUCAGUGGUAAAAUAGACGAUGACAGUAUUAUAGUCUAAAUCCUGUCCUUCCAUCCAAAUCGCCCUCCCACCGACCUCCAGAGGGUCACCCGGCGUGCUCUGGAGUCCCGCCGGUGUCUGUAUGGGGGCACCAAAAGGUUGCAUAAGCAUCUCUCAUAUUUCUGUCAGCUCUCUUUGACGAGUCACCAGCACGGUAACCCACAAACCAGAGACAAGAAAAGAGCGAGAAGUGGAGGAGCUGACAGGUUGAGGUCUGCGGACUCUGAUAAGAACCCCCGCAGUCACUUGGUGGUGUUUGGAUUUCUGGGCCACAAACACGGGGGGCUUCAUUCUCUGCUGAGUAAACACUCCAAGUCUGGAUAUUUGAGGUGUAACAGGUUGCUUUAACCUUUUUUCACCCCCUUGUAUCACAGUGCUAUUGAAACACAGCUGCUCUCAAAACAAGGAAACACUUUUUCACACGUUUCUAUAGACACGUGUGUCAAAGAGUCAAUACAGACUGUAAUGGACUGAGGGCCGAUGUCAAACACAUAAAUUUCAUCAAGCUGCAGUUCAUAAAGUCUCACAGAGGGACACUUUUGGAUAGAAAUAUGGCUUAUAUUAACUAAAUAUACUGAACUGAAGAAUUUAGUGUCUUAACUAAAUUAAAAUUUUAACAUUACUGAACUUAAGAUAUGUCAAGAUUUUCGUGUUCAUGCAAAAAAACAAAAAGAAACUUUAAAAAGUCAAAUAUCUGUCUUUUGAUGCUUUAGUCUACAUAACUAGCAAAAACAUUGUUGAUAUAUAACUUUUCCUUUUCUAUAAGAGGGAGUUUUUGGCUCAUUUUCAGGCUUUAUAUGUCCUCGUGAAAGUUUUGUUGUAACUUUACAGCUAAAAAAAUAUCCCAGUAACACUUUAUAGGAACCAGCCUCUAAUAGUGCACCAUAAACACAUUCAUAAAACCCUAUGAAUGCAUCAAUAAGGCUUUAUAACUACCCCUAUCAGUGAUUAUAAGCAUUCAGAAAAGCUAAUAGCAAUGUUAAAGUGUUAUAGAUAAUUUUUUAAAAUGUAAAAUUAUAGUUAUUAUUGUGAAGUAUUUGUUUUCUGAAACUAUAAAAAACUGAUUACUUGUUAUAAUAUAUAAUUGUUAAUAAUCUUAUACAGUACUGUCCCCAAAUUAUGCUUAUAGAUUUCUGAAUAAAAAUUAUAACUUUUUAUGAUACAUAGAAUAAGUUCUUUAUGAGCCUUUAUAAUCUGGUCAAGUUGUUUUUAAACCAAGAAUUAAAAAUAAUAAAAGAUGCACGUUAAACCAUCCCUUUAGAGGGCCUCAUAGGCUUACUGCUUAUAACGCUUCAUUAACAAUGCUAUCAGCUGCUAUGAAUGCUUAUAAUCACUCAUAAGAGAUGUUAUAAAGCCUUAAAGACUUAUGUAUCAGGCUUUAUAAAUGUGCUUAUGAUUCAUUAUAAGAGCCUUUGUCUAAAACCCUUAACUUUACUUACUGUCUCUUUAAGAACCCUCCUACACUCAUGGAGCCUCCACCACUGUUGCCACAUGACACAUGAAUUUUUGGACUUCGAAUCUGAGCUGAAAAGUACAUCAAAAUUUUUUAUGUUUAUUGAUAGGCGUCUGAUGCUUUCCUUUAACAUUCAAUUUGAAAUCAUGCUCAGGUUUCAUACAGACAUUUUAACUCGAUAUCUAUAAAUAGAACAUGAAAAAAAACACAGUAGCACUUCUUUAAUGGCUGAUGUGGAUAUUCUUGUUAUGAGGAAACAGUAGCCUCUGUUCAAGUAAUCCCUUUGCAUAAUCACUUCCUAAAUAAGUCAUAAACUUAGGUUGACUUUAUCAUGAGACAUUUCUGUUCAAAUUGAAUCCCGCUUUAAAGAUAAGAAACUUAAACUCUAAAUACUGAGUUAUCAGAGAACUUUGACUUAUUUGGAGUAAAACUGAGAUGAGUCGAGUUAUCAUGACUAAGCAUUUUUACAGUGUAAACCCAGACAAGGAUUACAGAGCACACAAUGAAGUCAGAGAGCCUCCAGUGAAGUAGACGUAAUUUGAUAUAGACAUAAUAACUCUGAUAUUUUAGGUAGUACUUCUUUCAAGCUUUGUGUGACUCGCUGAAAGAGGUAUAAUAGC
Molecule: non-coding RNA, 11394 nt
Organism: Xyrichtys novacula (pearly razorfish)
Lineage: Eukaryota; Metazoa; Chordata; Actinopteri; Labriformes; Labridae
Source: the annotation of a GenBank genome assembly